This 332-nucleotide ribosomal RNA is filed under the name uncultured bacterium. Its description in RNAcentral is "bacterial SSU rRNA". It matches the Rfam family "Bacterial small subunit ribosomal RNA", at positions 568 to 898 of the family's 1533-position model. The record is from RNAcentral.
CGUGUAGGCGGUCUUUUAAGUCUGAUGUGAAAGCCCCGGGCUCAACCUGGGAAGUGCAUUGGAAACUGGGAGACUUGAGUACGGGAGAGGGUAGUGGAAUUCCCAGUGUAGGAGUGAAAUCCGUAGAUAUUGGGAGGAACACCGGUGGCGAAGGCGGCUACCUGGACCGAUACUGACGCUGAGACGCGAAAGCGUGGGGAGCAAACAGGAUUAGAUACCCUGGUAGUCCACGCCGUAAACGAUGAGUACUAGGUGUCGCGGGUAUUGACCCCUGCGGUGCCGCAGCUAACGCAUUAAGUACUCCGCCUGGGAAGUACGGUCGCAAGACUAAA